Molecule: unclassified non-coding RNA, 502 nt
Filed under: Hevea brasiliensis (rubber tree)
Lineage: Eukaryota; Viridiplantae; Streptophyta; Magnoliopsida; Malpighiales; Euphorbiaceae
Source: RNAcentral
AGAAAUACCCAGAUUUGGUUAGGAAGUAUUUGGGGAGAGUUGUGCCUAGUGAGGAUAACUACUAUGCAGCUUUGAAUUCUGCUGUGUUUAGUGAUGGGUCAUUUUGUUAUAUACCAAAGGAUACUAAGUGCCCAAUGCAGAUUUCUACAUAUUUUAGGAUUAAUGCCAUGGAAACAGGGCAGUUUGAGAGGACUUUGAUAGUUGCUGAUGAUAGGAGUUUUGUGGAGUACUUGGAAGGAUGCACUGCUCCAUCUUAUGACACAAACCAGCUUCAUGCAGCUGUAGUUGAGCUGUAUUGUGCUGAGGGUGCAGAAAUUAAGUACUCCACAGUGCAGAACUGGUAUGCUGGUGAUGAGGAAGGAAAGGGUGGGAUUUAUAAUUUUGUUACGAAGAGGGGACUUUGUGCUGGGGAUAGGUCUAAAAUAUCUUGGACUCAGGUGGAGACGGGAUCUGCAAUUACUUGGAAGUACCCUAGUGUUGUUUUGGAGGGGGAUGAUACUGU